AACGAACGCUGGCGGCAGGCCUAACACAUGCAAGUCGAGCGAACCCUUCGGGGUUAGCGGCGGACGGGUUAGUAACGCGUGGGAAUAUGCCCUUCUCUACGGAAUAGUCUCGGGAAACUGGGGGUAAUACCGUAUACGCCUACGGGGAGGAGAUUAUCGGAGAAGGAUAGCCGCGUGGAUAGGUAGUUGGUGGGUAGUGGCCUACCAAGCCUACGAUCCAUAGCUGGUUUGAGAGGAUGAUCAGCAACACUGGGACUGAGACACGGCCCAGACUCCUACGGGAGGCAGCAGUGGGGAAGUCUUAGACAAUGGGCGCAAGCCUGAUCUAGCCAUGCCGCGUGGACGAUGAAGGCCUUAGGGUUGUAAAGUCCUUUCAGAUGGGAAGAUAAUGACGGUACCAUCAGAAGAAGCCCCGGCUAACUCCGUGCCAGCAGCCGCGGUAAAGUAU
RNAcentral lists this ribosomal RNA (448 nucleotides) under uncultured bacterium. Its description in RNAcentral is "bacterial SSU rRNA". It matches the Rfam family "Bacterial small subunit ribosomal RNA", at positions 29 to 526 of the family's 1533-position model. The record is from RNAcentral.